This 1371-nucleotide ribosomal RNA is filed under the name uncultured bacterium. Its description in RNAcentral is "bacterial SSU rRNA". It matches the Rfam family "Bacterial small subunit ribosomal RNA", at positions 28 to 1381 of the family's 1533-position model. The record is from RNAcentral.
GAUGAACGCUGGCGGCGUGCCUAAUACAUGCAAGUCGAGCGAACGGACGAGAAGCUUGCUUCUCUGAUGUUAGCGGCGGACGGGUGAGUAACACGUGGAUAACCUACCUAUAAGACUGGGAUAACUUCGGGAAACCGGAGCUAAUACCGGAUAAUAUUUUGAACCGCAUGGUUCAAAAGUGAAAGACGGUCUUGCUGUCACUUAUAGAUGGAUCCGCGCUGCAUUAGCUAGUUGGUAAGGUAACGGCUUACCAAGGCAACGAUGCAUAGCCGACCUGAGAGGGUGAUCGGCCACACUGGAACUGAGACACGGUCCAGACUCCUACGGGAGGCAGCAGUAGGGAAUCUUCCGCAAUGGGCGAAAGCCUGACGGAGCAACGCCGCGUGAGUGAUGAAGGUCUUCGGAUCGUAAAACUCUGUUAUUAGGGAAGAACAUAUGUGUAAGUAACUGUGCACAUCUUGACGGUACCUAAUCAGAAAGCCACGGCUAACUACGUGCCAGCAGCCGCGGUAAUACGUAGGUGGCAAGCGUUAUCCGGAAUUAUUGGGCGUAAAGCGCGCGUAGGCGGUUUUUUAGUCUGAUGUGAAAGCCCACGGCUCAACCGUGGAGGGUCAUUGGAAACUGGAAAACUUGAGUGCAGAAGAGGAAAGUGGAAUUCCAUGUGUAGCGGUGAAAUGCGCAGAGAUAUGGAGGAACACCAGUGGCGAAGGCGACUUUCUGGUCUGUAACUGACGCUGAUGUGCGAAAGCGUGGGGAUCAAACAGGAUUAGAUACCCUGGUAGUCCACGCCGUAAACGAUGAGUGCUAAGUGUUAGGGGGUUUCCGCCCCUUAGUGCUGCAGCUAACGCAUUAAGCACUCCGCCUGGGGAGUACGACCGCAAGGUUGAAACUCAAAGGAAUUGACGGGGACCCGCACAAGCGGUGGAGCAUGUGGUUUAAUUCGAAGCAACGCGAAGAACCUUACCAAAUCUUGACAUCCUUUGACAACUCUAGAGAUAGAGCCUUCCCCUUCGGGGGACAAAGUGACAGGUGGUGCAUGGUUGUCGUCAGCUCGUGUCGUGAGAUGUUGGGUUAAGUCCCGCAACGAGCGCAACCCUUAAGCUUAGUUGCCAUCAUUAAGUUGGGCACUCUAAGUUGACUGCCGGUGACAAACCGGAGGAAGGUGGGGAUGACGUCAAAUCAUCAUGCCCCUUAUGAUUUGGGCUACACACGUGCUACAAUAGACAAUACAAAGGGCAGCGAAACCGCGAGGUCAAGCAAAUCCCAUAAAGUUGUUCUCAGUUCGGAUUGUAGUCUGCAACUCGACUACAUGAAGCUGGAAUCGCUAGUAAUCGUAGAUCAGCAUGCUACGGUGAAUACGUUCCCGGGUCU